UAUGAUGUUCCAAACCUGGAAUCUGGAGC
This 29-nucleotide non-coding RNA is filed under the name Mus musculus (house mouse). Lineage: Eukaryota; Metazoa; Chordata; Mammalia; Rodentia; Muridae. The record is from RNAcentral.